RNAcentral lists this non-coding RNA (75 nucleotides) under Streptomyces violaceusniger. Lineage: Bacteria; Bacillati; Actinomycetota; Actinomycetes; Kitasatosporales; Streptomycetaceae. The record is from RNAcentral.
GGGGAAGCCGGUGCGAUUCCGGCGCUGACCCGCAACCGUGAGCGCGCCCCGCGGGGCGUACGAGCCGGAACACCC